Molecule: long non-coding RNA, 3576 nt
Organism: Dinoponera quadriceps
Lineage: Eukaryota; Metazoa; Arthropoda; Insecta; Hymenoptera; Formicidae
Exons: 4
Source: RefSeq, a predicted model, not a curated record
AAUAUAUUUGGCUAAUUAACACGGCGAAAUCAUGAUUAAGUAUUUAAUCGUUCGAAACGCUCACACGCCUGUUUGAUUUAAACAGUCGCUUCAUAUAUAGUAGCCUUCAGCCAGCACUAAUCCGGUAUAGUGCGGAUGAGCGAAUCGGCCGUAAGGAAAAAUCGUUCCGCGAAAUCCUCGAUCGGCGAGCACUGAUAGAUUCCACUGAAUCGACUUCUAGGUUGUUUUCACAGUCGGAUCUUAUAUUUAAGAACAUUGUAAGUUCACUUUCCGACGCUGCAGAGGUCGUUUCAUUGGCUACGAAGGCAUCUGAAGGUGAACCUAAGACGACUUCGACCCGUUUCAGGUCGUUUGAUAUUUCAGCUCUAAAAUGAAACGCAGCCAUGAAAUACUUCCAUAAUUAUUACGAGGCGCGCUCGACGAAUGAAACUUGGCUCGGUGGUGACGGGACACGUGAAAUUCGCCCGGCGUCGCACGUGUUAAAUAUAAGAUCGGUCUGUAAAUAACAUCGGUGGGAGACUUUUACAAUGCGAGCCGUGAAAUGAAGCCUCCUCGCGGGCGGAAAAUACGAAAAUACAGCCGCGUUUCACGGAGAGAGAGACCCCCCCCUCUCCGGCGCAAAAAGGCAAAGAGUCAAGUGAAAAUUCAAUCGACUUUGAAUCGCGGGGGGUUUACGUAUAUUUUUCUCGGCGGGAAGCCUCGUCGUUAAAUAUGGGACACGCUAUCUCCGCGGGACAAGGGGAUUUUUUCGCGCUCCUCGUAGAGAAAUAGAUGAGCGCGGGUGUCGAGGAGAUUUAAUGGCGGUGUUAAGCUGCGAAAAAAUAAAGGUGAGAGACGCGGUGGCGAACGCGCACCAGGCGUUAGGAUGCAAAUGAAAGUGGGAAUAAAGUGGAGUGACGCGAGAAGAGAAGAACGAAAGAGGCGAGCCAGCUAACGUUGUCGUGUGUGCACGAAGAGAGAGAGAGAGAGAGAGAAAGGGAACUACCGUGGCUCUACUCCGCGGUUUCUAAGGACGAGAUCUAGUCGCUUCUAAUAGGAUAGAUAAACACAACGGAUCUUCGCUCCGAAAUGCUCGGCAAAUGUUGCGAUCUCCCCUCGGCAAGAAAGUCAAACGUCGUGCCAUUUGUUCCGUCGCGGUGGUACACGUGGUACACGAUUUGCCAAUGGCAAAUAUAUUUCAUUGGUCGAGAAAAAGAGAGAAAGAGAGAGAGAGAGAGAUGCCGGCUUACAUUUUACGAUUCUCCAAACGCGCCGAUUGUGUAUUCGCGAGAAUCUGCGAGAGGUUACAGCGGACCUAUUUCUUUACGGUCUCUCUCUCUCUUUCUUUCUCCCUCUCUGUUUUCACUAUGUAAUGCUAUAAUAUUAUCGCGAUUUCUCACUUCUCCUUCCCGUGAAUAUGUUAUAUAAGUCGCCGGUUAUCCGUUCUAUUCGUAAAACAACCAACUCCCCGGGCAACUCGGAAGAAUUCACGACAGAAUCCGGAGCGCGGCUCGCAGGACGGAAACGAUCGAGAAAUCGAAAUGAUAGGCGGAAAAUGAAGAUAAUGGGGAUGAUGAAUACACUAAACGUUUCACGGACACGCGAUUUCCCAGCGUGUGUGUGCGUGUGUGUGAUGCAGAGUCGCGCGUGCCACGGAGAGAAGGAGCUUUCGACUUGGAGUCUGCGAUUCGUUGAUUAUUCUCGGAGGACUGGGGCAACCAGGAAAGGCUCAUCUCAGCGGGCGCGUCGCCUUCGUCUUAUUAGAGACCUCUUCUGCGCGCCGAGAGAUGCAAUCUCGUCCGACCGCGCGUUUCCAUCCCCGCGAUGAAUGGGCGGCGCGAGCGGUAGGAAUCUCCUCCGCAGGCUCGACGGCUCGCAAGCUCGCAAGCUCGCGCGCUACGCGAACGUCUCUCUCUCUCUCUCUCUCUCCCUCUCUGUGUUACACGAAAAGCCACUCUCCGUGCGACCCAUUAUGCAAAUUAUGCCUACCGGCGGCGAAACGUAUGCAUUUCCACCGUCGAGAAAUGGAACUCGUACUUGGCGCAAGCGCUCCGGCAAGGUGAACAACGCGAUAACGGAAAGAAGUGACGGAAGGAAGCGAGAGACCUCCCGAAAUUUUGGUCUUGUGUUGAAACCUUGGCUAAAUCUGAACAACAUUGGUGCGAUCGAUAAAUCGAAACAUAUAUGGUUUUAAGCAAUCGGCAACAUGCAAAACAAAUGAACAGCGAUUCGUAGCUAUGUCAAAAGAAGUGACGAUCGCUCCAAGUGUUAGAGGAUUGUUCUUUCGCAGCUAGUCUUUCGAUUCUAGUCGAUCGGCGGAUCUUAGCGGUGUAAACGCUAUUGUGAGCUGAGGAAAAGGAAAAAAAUGUUAUCUGACACAGAUUUUUCUUCGGAUAAAGAAAUUCAAGAUGUAGAUGGUGAUGUAUCACCGUUAUUUCGUCGACGUGUCGUGAGACGAAUCUCGUCAGAAUCAUCGGACGAUGAGAAUAUUAAUUUAUAUACGCGGAGAAGAGAACAAUGUUUGCAAGCACACGUAAACGAGAAGAGAACUCAAAAUGCACCAUGACUUUGAUGGUCUCAGAAAGUGAAGCUCUCACAGAAAAGUUAACUUUUAUGGUGUUUAAUAACAGAGCAAAAAAUGAACUUCACGAUAAAAGUUUUUUGAAUACGCUAGGUUCAAUAGUUACUUAGAUAUCAACAUUUGUAUAAGGAGAAAAUCAACCAAACAAGCGCGGCUACUUUCGUAUUAUGCCUUCGAGAAGUUCGAACACAUUGGUCAAGCGUUUUCGGGUGGGACCGCAAAGUGUUGAACCAUCGAUUCUACGACGUAGUAGAAGCUAAGAUACGUUAAAACAGGACGACGGGGGUAGCGUUAAAAUUCAAUCCGCCGAAUUAAAGGCGAGGAAAUCGAGUCGACAGUCACGCCAGGCCGGUUUUCGGAUGUAGGGAGAACUUGGGCCAAUCAAAAUCCGGAUAAUUGGUUAAUAUCCGGGAAUAUGCCGAGGCGCGCGACAACUCGAUCGAACCCGCCCGGGGCGAGUCCGUCCUCCUCGUAAUUCACUGCAGUUAGCUCUUCGCUUGCGAUCAAACUUGUAUCCGCCUUGAAAAGUUUCGCGCCGGCUGCGAGGGUGCCAUUUUUCCCGAGGAUCGAACGGAAGCCGAUGGAGCGUAUCGGCCGCACCCGAAUUGAAUCAACCCCGUCCCGCGCGUUACGUCAUCCGGCGAACGCGAAAACAAUGAGAUCAAGGCGAAAUAUCAGGUGUAUAAAUUAUCAUGUGCCGGAAAAAGCUCCUGCGGAUUCUCAGGUCUAAAUCGGAAACACUCGGAACUUUUCAAAAAAGUAGUAGCAUGGAAUUCAUUUGUAAACCUAUUAAUACGUACGAAACUGUGCGGAAUUGGGCGAAGAAGGCGGGGUGGGAGGUGGGGGACAUUUUUUCGCGAUUGUUGGAGAAAAUGCCACAGCCGAUGACGGACUUCAUAAGCGUCGAUAAUGUAAAGGCGAUUCUCAACAUGUUGUGACGCAAUGUGUUACGUGAACAUUGACACGAUCCGGCUACUCUUUUUGUGUUUUUUCGUACGUAUUGAGAUUAUGUAAAU